Molecule: ribosomal RNA, 478 nt
Filed under: uncultured bacterium
Lineage: Bacteria
Description: bacterial SSU rRNA
Rfam family: Bacterial small subunit ribosomal RNA
Source: RNAcentral
AACGCUAGCGGCAGGCUUAACACAUGCAAGUCGAGGGGGUAGAAGGAGCUUGCUCCUUUGAGACCGGCGCACGGGUGCGUAACGCGUAUGCAAUCUACCUUUUUGCAGAGGGAUAGCCCAGAGAAAUUUGGAUUAAUACCUCAUAGUAUGUGAGGAUGGCAUCAUUUUCACAUUAAAGUCACAACGGCAAAAGAUGAGCAUGCGUCCCAUUAGCUAGUUGGUAAGGUAACGGCUUACCAAGGCUACGAUGGGUAGGGGUCCUGAGAGGGAGAUCCCCCACACUGGUACUGAGACACGGACCAGACUCCUACGGGAGGCAGCAGUGAGGAAUAUUGGACAAUGGGCGCAAGCCUGAUCCAGCCAUGCCGCGUGCAGGAUGACGGUCCUAUGGAUUGUAAACUGCUUUUGUACAGGAAGAAACACUACUUCGUGAAGUAGCUUGACGGUACUGUAAGAAUAAGCACCGGCUAACUACGUG